ACUGCUCAGUAACACGUGGACAACCUGCCCUUAGGUUGGGUAUAAACCCGGGAAACUGGGUAUAAUACCCGAUAGGUCUCGAUUGCUGGAAUGCAUCGAGAUUUAAAGCUCCGGCGCCUAAGGAUGGGUCUGCGGCCUAUCAGGUAGUAGUGGGUGUAGCGUACCUACUAGCCUACGACGGGUACGGGUUGUGAGAGCAAGAGCCCGGAGAUGGAUUCUGAGACACGAAUCCAGGCCCUACGGGGUGCAGCAGGCGCGAAAACUUUACAAUGCUGGCAACAGCGAUAAGGGAACCUCGAGUGCCAGGUUACAAAUCUGGCUGUCGAGAUGCCUAAAAAGCAUUUCAUAGCAAGGGCCGGGCAAGACCGGUGCCAGCCGCCGCGGUAACACCGGCGGCUCGAGUAGUAACCGUUAUUAUUGGGUCUAAAGGGUCUGUAGCCGGCCGGAUAAGUCUCUUGAGAAAUCUGGCAGCUUAACUGUCAGGCUUUCAGGAGAUACUGUCUGGCUCGAGGCCGGGAGAGGUGAGAGGUACUUCAGGGGUAGGGGUGAAAUCUUGUAAUCCUUGAAGGACCACCAGUGGCGAAGGCGUCUCACCAGAACGGACCUGACGGCAAGGGACGAAAGCUAGGGGCACGAACCGGAUUAGAUACCCGGGUAGUCCUAGCCGUAAACGAUACUCGCUAGGUGUCGGCCACGGUGCGACCGUUGUCGGUGCCGUAGGGAAGCCGUGAAGCGAGCCACCUGGGAAGUACGGCCGCAAGGCUGAAACUUAAAGGAAUUGGCGGGGGAGCAC
RNAcentral lists this ribosomal RNA (793 nucleotides) under uncultured archaeon. Its description in RNAcentral is "bacterial SSU rRNA". It matches the Rfam family "Archaeal small subunit ribosomal RNA", at positions 85 to 879 of the family's 1478-position model. The record is from RNAcentral.